UAAGGAAUAUUGCUCAAUGGGAGAAAUCCUGAAGCAGCAACGCCGCGUGGAGGAUGAAGGGUCUAUGACUUGUAAACUCCUGUAAAGAAGGAAAAAAUUCCCAUUCGAUGGGAGAUGAUGGUACUUCUGGAGUAAGCCCCGGCUAACUACGUGCCAGCAGCCGCGGUAAUACGUAGGGGGCAAGCGUUGUCCGGAUUUACUGGGUGUAAAGGGUGCUCAGGCGGAUUUGUAAGUCAGAGGUGAAAUCUUACAGCUUAACUGUGAAACUGCCUUUGAUACUGCAAGCCUAGAGUAUGGAAGAGAGUGAUGGAAUAUCUGGUGUAGCAGUGAAAUGCGUAGAUAUCAGAUAGAACACCAAUGGCGAAGGCAGUCACUUGGUCCAUUACUGACGCUAAAGCACGAAAGCGUGGGUAGCAAACA
This 420-nucleotide ribosomal RNA is filed under the name uncultured bacterium. RNAcentral's name for it is "bacterial SSU rRNA". It matches the Rfam family "Bacterial small subunit ribosomal RNA", at positions 355 to 774 of the family's 1533-position model. The record is from RNAcentral.